Lates calcarifer (barramundi perch) is the source of this 772-nucleotide long non-coding RNA. RefSeq lists it as uncharacterized. Lineage: Eukaryota; Metazoa; Chordata; Actinopteri; Centropomidae. The transcript has 5 exons. The record is from RefSeq and is a predicted model, not a curated record.
UAACCGGAAGGCAGCAAACUGUUGACAUGGUGCUACCACAGCAUCUCGAAAUGCUCACAGUUUGCUUCGUUUAUGGCUGCUCACGUGGAUUAGACCGAGAAAUCACCUGAAGCUUCAGUCGAGUAACUUAAAGUUGUUGUUAAUAAGGAAGAAAAUGCAACAAACGGACGGACAAACGCCCAAACGUGGCUUUCAAACUUUACCUGUGGUUGGAGUGGCGUUGAACAGGCCCAAUGCUCCUGCGUGCUGUGACCUUUCUGACAAAGGGUCCUGUGUGAUUGAUGGGCCACAUCUACACACAGAGGAGUGUUGGAUCUCCAUGCUGGAUCUCAGCUGACAACGCAGAGCCAGAGCCACGUUACACAAAAAACAAGAGCCAGUACUGCAGCUUAACCUUCGCCUGUGCUGGGAUACACCGGAGAGGAGCCAUGAUGCUCCUGCCAUACUUACCACGUCCAAGACUUUUGGUGAUGAUGACACCAGUUCAUCGAUAUGCAGCAGGAGCUCUCCUCACACGGCCGAGCUGCCGUCGUGGCCCAGGAUGUGGCUGAUGUUGUGGGCGGGGCGAUUGGGCUGUUUGCUCGAGUCGGCGGACGAGGUGUUGGAGAGAGACAGCAGAGGAGACAUGGGCAUGGCUGAGCCGUCGGUGGGCAUGCCACUGGCGAUCUCAGGAAACAGGGAGUACUCUUCACCGUGUGACACUACCAACCUUGAGGUGUUCCUGCUGAGCCAGGUGGUUGCUGUGGUGGGCCCUGGACCCUGCUGCUUGGGC